This 428-nucleotide ribosomal RNA is filed under the name Bergeyella sp. oral taxon 422. Its description in RNAcentral is "bacterial SSU rRNA". It matches the Rfam family "Bacterial small subunit ribosomal RNA", at positions 28 to 453 of the family's 1533-position model. The record is from RNAcentral. Lineage: Bacteria; Pseudomonadati; Bacteroidota; Flavobacteriia; Flavobacteriales; Weeksellaceae.
GAUGAACGCUAGCGGGAGGCCUAACACAUGCAAGCCGAGCGGUAUUGUUUCUUCGGAAAUGAGAGAGCGGCGUACGAGUGCGGAACACGUGUGCAACCUGCCUUUAUCUGGGGGAUAGCCUUUCGAAAGGAAGAUUAAUACUCCAUAAUAUAUUGAACGGCAUCGUUUAAUAUUGAAAGCUCCGGCGGAUAGAGAUGGGCACGCGCAAGAUUAGCUAGUUGGUGAGGUAACGGCUCACCAAGGCGAUGAUCUUUAGGGGGCCUGAGAGGGUGAUCCCCCACACUGGUACUGAGACACGGACCAGACUCCUACGGGAGGCAGCAGUGAGGAAUAUUGGUCAAUGGGUGCAAGCCUGAACCAGCCAUCCCGCGUGAAGGACGACUGCCCCUAUGGGGUUGUAAAACUUUCUUUUGUAUAGGGAUAAAACC